ACUGGCAGGUAGGAUGCUAGGCAGCAGGUAACCCUUAUUUCAAUCUCUCAGCACAGAAUUAUCGAAGAAAUAUCUCCUUCUUCUUCCCCUCUAAAAACAUACAUUUCCAAAAUAGUGGAACUUGUUUACUUAAAGUGGAAUCUUCCAUGUGAGCACCUUAAUCAAUCUUCAGAAACACAAGGGAGACUCCAAUGCCAAAUAAAGGCUAUAAAUCUAAAUUGUUUGGCAUAAUAAAGAUGAGAUGGAGCAAGUGACUAAGCAGAGGAGUUGAAAAAUGAGUCUGGCUCUGUUGUCCAGGCUGGAGUGCAGUGGCAUGAUCUCUGCUCACUGCAACCUCUACCUCCCAGGUUCAAGCAAUUCUCUGCCUCAGCCUCCCGAGUAGCUGCCUUACAGGCACCUGCCACCACACCCAGGUACUCAGGCUCCGGACGGAACAGAGAAAAUCCCCUAGACAAGCACCAUCCUACAGCAACAUAAUGCCAACCACAAAUGUGUGCAACGUAUGUCAUUGAACAGUUUUUAGUAGACACAUUAAAUAAAGUAAACCAAAGUAGGU
Molecule: long non-coding RNA, 556 nt
Organism: Pongo pygmaeus (Bornean orangutan)
Lineage: Eukaryota; Metazoa; Chordata; Mammalia; Primates; Hominidae
Exons: 4
Source: RefSeq, a predicted model, not a curated record